Molecule: unclassified non-coding RNA, 492 nt
Filed under: Microcystis aeruginosa
Lineage: Bacteria; Bacillati; Cyanobacteriota; Cyanophyceae; Chroococcales; Microcystaceae
Description: partial miscellaneous RNA
Rfam family: Bacterial small subunit ribosomal RNA (bases 1-100)
Source: RNAcentral
CUCAACCGCAAGGAGGGGGAUGCCUAAGGCAGGGCUAGUGACUGGGGUGAAGUCGUAACAAGGUAGCCGUACCGGAAGGUGUGGCUGGAUCACCUCCUUAAAGGGAGACCUAAUUCGGGUAUGGGAUGAAAAAAAAGUAGUCCCUACCAAGAAUCAAUCCCAAAAGGUCGGAGCGAGGCAUAAGGCUUUCAAACUAGGUUCUGGGUUCACACAAGACCUGAAUCAGGAACAAGGGCUAUUAGCUCAGGUGGUUAGAGCGCACCCCUGAUAAGGGUGAGGUCCCUGGUUCGAGUCCAGGAUGGCCCACCUGCACAGGUGGCAAAAACAAGAGAAGCGAGGAAUCAGCACCUUAUCUUAUCUAUAUAUAAAUACAAGUAAGAGAGAAUGCUGGCUCUGAGUAAAGAGUCCAGAGGAACCUUGAAAACUGCAUAGAGCUAGGUGAAAAAGCCAAAAAAGAAGACCGCAAGGUCAAGCUAAUAAGGGCUAACGGUG